RNAcentral lists this long non-coding RNA (678 nucleotides) under Amborella trichopoda. RNAcentral's name for it is "long non-coding RNA (ATRI_LNC000452)". The record is from RNAcentral. Lineage: Eukaryota; Viridiplantae; Streptophyta; Magnoliopsida; Amborellales; Amborellaceae.
CGACAUUUUUUCUGCAAAUUGGUACAUUUGACCAGCUUAUGAUCUAUUUGACACGUUUAGCAGGUUAUGAGCCUAAAAUCAUGACAAUCAAGUAUCAUGACCCAGGGCUGCCAAGCCAUUUGUCUAUGAUAGAUGUGAGCGAUGAUUAUGAAGCAGCACGUAUAUUGAAAAAGCCUUCUCCCAUUACAAUACAUGUCACACCAAUCAAUUGAUCCAUAUUCCCCGGAAAAUUGGCCUACAAUGGUUGACAUUGGUCCAUCAAUGAGAGACACAUAAGAUGAUUGCCAAAUUUUAUGGUUUCUAUUGAAAAAUACGGUUCAUUGAAAGCAAUCAAACACUUAUUUUGUUGGCGGCCGGACUCAAGAAUAAGUCGUGCCCAAGGAAGGUGUUAUCAUAGGUCAAGAUGUUGAAACUGAGACAGAGAUACGUGUUAUCAUAGGUCUAGAUGUUGAAACUGAGACAGAGAUUGAAUGCAACAUUGACAUCAGUGGAAAGCCCCAUAAGAAUGACUAUCAUACUUCAGCUGGUUGUUAAAAUAUGUAGCUAUGGCUUCAGCUGCUGAACAAGACCACCGGAUUUUACUUCUUUCCUUUCGCUUUCUAGUGUUUUGAAUAUUCCUCAUUACAGGAUCUCCCUUUGUAUUAAAUGGAACUUAUUUUUUAUAUUAAUGAAACCAGG